This 253-nucleotide ribosomal RNA is filed under the name uncultured bacterium. RNAcentral describes it as "partial 16S ribosomal RNA". It matches the Rfam family "Bacterial small subunit ribosomal RNA", at positions 524 to 776 of the family's 1533-position model. The record is from RNAcentral.
UACGGGGGGGGCAAGCGUUGUUCGGAAUUACUGGGCGUAAAGGGCGCGUAGGCGGUUUGUUAAGUUGGUUGUGAAAACUCUGGGCUUAACCCAGAGCCUGCAUCCAAAACUAGCAAGCUAGAGUUCUGGAGGGGAUAGCGGAAUUCCUGGUGUAGCGGUGAAAUGCGUAGAUAUCAGGAGGAACACCGGUGGCGAAGGCGGCUAUCUGGACAGAAACUGACGCUGAGGCGCGACAGCGUGGGGAGCAAACAGG